RNAcentral lists this ribosomal RNA (225 nucleotides) under uncultured bacterium. RNAcentral's name for it is "partial 16S ribosomal RNA". It matches the Rfam family "Bacterial small subunit ribosomal RNA", at positions 524 to 748 of the family's 1533-position model. The record is from RNAcentral.
UACGUAGGGGGCAAGCGUUGUCCGGAAUCAUUGGGCGUAAAGCGCGCGUAGGCGCCCGGUAAGUCCGCUCUGAAAGUCCAGGGCUCAACCCUGGAAAGCGGGUGGAUACUGCCGGGCUAGAAUCCGGAAGAGGCGAGUGGAAUUCCUGGUGUAGCGGUGGAAUGCGCAGAUAUCAGGAGGAACACCAAUAGCGAAGGCAGCUCGCUGGGGACGGUAUUGACGCUA